This 2850-nucleotide long non-coding RNA is filed under the name Homo sapiens (human). RNAcentral's name for it is "HSALNT0241917". Lineage: Eukaryota; Metazoa; Chordata; Mammalia; Primates; Hominidae. The record is from RNAcentral.
CACAAGGUCAGGAGUUCAAGACCAGCCUGGCCAACAUGGUGAAACCCCAUCUCUACUAAAGAGGCUAACUUGUUAUUUUUCACAAGACUAAUUUCCCCAAAUCCAGUUUCCUUUUACACAAGACUAAUUUCCUUCUCCCAGUUUCCAUACUGGGAGAAGGGUCCAUGGCGCUGGCCCUGACGUGUGACAUGAGCCCCUGCAGUACCCACUCUGAUUCAAAACUUCUGUGAGGGAAGGCGCUGGUCCAGGGACCAUAUUCAGGUCCCUGUUGGGUUAAUCACCUCUGCAUUGGGUCUGUUUAGAUGCUUCUAGUCAAAGCCUGAUGAGCCCAACGCUGGCCUCCCCACACCGAGCUCCCUUUUCCUGCGAAGGGAACUGAUCAGGCCCAGGCCUGGCUAGGCAGGGUGGGUUGCCAUCCAGGUCUUUGCCCUUUCUAAUGACAUGAGAGCUCCAAACUCCCACUGGGAGACAGGCCUGCUGUCCACAACCCUCUCCAAGAAUGCACUCUCCCAUGGGAAAGGGCAUGGGCCCUUCCACCCUGAGCCCCCAAGAGAGGCGCAGACAGUCACAGGAGGGUAAAGAACGGUCCCCAUACUAUAAAUAUUUCUCAAACGUCUCCUGUAAAUCUCCAGAUGUGUCAUCAGGGCACAGGGAAGAGAUCUUGAAUUAGAGCCGAUUAGAGACCAUAUUCUCCCAGAGGAGGGCAAGCCUGCCCGUCAACCGAGCCCCACUUGGCCGCCGGGACCACCUCGGGAGGAAGCGUCUCCUGACAGCUUUCCUGGAGGCUGCCCCGUACCCUUCCGGGGCGCUGAGGGCUCUGGGAAGCACAGACACCAUUUCCCCUUUGCCCUCCUGCCCUUUGUGGUGACAGCUCCGGAGUCGUCCCCGGGUGUGCCCUCUUCCGAGUUACAGUGGAAACACAACACCCGAACCUCCUCGCCAGCGCUGCCGGCCCGGCUCCGGCGCGGCUCCACCCCAGGCCUGGCUCCCACGUCAGCCCACAGCUGCACCCUAGCGGCGGCCUCUGCGCCCGCGGCUCCCGCAUUCCCGCGCGCCUCUCCGGGCGCGCCUUCGUCCCUUCGCCCCUCUCCCUCUCACUAUCUCACGCAGGUACAGUCCUGAAAACAAUUUCGGUCAAGAACAGAGGCACCAUCUCCAUCCUGCUGGGAAACUGCACCUGCGGCAUUCCUUCAGCUGCGGUGGGGGCUGGGGCUGGAGAGGACCCUUGACCUGGAUGCUCCCACUCUUUCCCAGUCCUGGGAUUCCUUGGUGUGUGGUCAGCUGGUCUGGCCUGGCCCAAGGGUCUACUGCAAGGGCAAGGGAACUCUCUCUUUGCCAGAUCAGGAAAAGCAGCGCGGGGGUGGGGGUGGGUGGGGGGCUGGGGGUGGGAUUGGGGGGCUGGGGGAUGGUGGUUAGGAAUCACUUAGGGUAGAGAAAGGACAUUCUUUUUGUUCCCUGGUGAUUUUGUGUCCUCCCAAGGAGAGGGGAAAGGUUCCUCCUGCCUGAUAGUCCUUCCUUUCUCUAUUUCUGUUCCUGGCCCUGAACUUGGAACCUCCCUUCCUCUUUGACAUAUGGGAGGCCUCCUGUCUUUAGAGAUUCUUCUAACCUAGACUUCAAAGUGAGACAGGAGUUGGGUAGGACUUGUUUUGCAAGGUACAGGUCACAAAGAUCCAUCUGAUAAAAUGAGAUGUAAAAAAGCUGGCCAAAACCUACCAAAACCAAGAUGGUGACGAAAAUGAGCUCCAAUCAUCCUCACUGCUCAUUAUACAUUAAUUAUAAUAUAUUAACAUGCUAAAAAACACUCUACUAGUGCCAUGACAGUUUACAAACACCAUGACAAUGUCUGGAAAUUACUCUAUAUUGUCUGAAAGAGGAAGGAACCCUCACUUCUGGGAAUUCCCCCACCUCUUUCCUGGAAAAUUCAUAUGACCAAUAAACAACCGUAAAAAUAGCCAACCAGCAGCACUUGGGGCUGCUCUGCUUAUGGAGUAGCCACCCUUUUAUUCUUUUACUUUUUUUUUUUCUUGAGACAGAGUCUUGCUGUGUUGCCCAGGCUGGAGUGCAGUGGCAUGAUCUCGGCUCACUGCAACCUCUGCCUCCUGAGUUCAAGCAAUUCUCCUGCCUCAGCCUCCUGAGUAGCUGUGAUUACAGACACCCACCACCACACUCAGCUAAUUUUUGUACUUUUAGUAGAGAUGGGGCUUCACCAUGUUGACCAGGCUGGUCUAGAACUCCUGACUUCAGGUGAUCCACCUGCCUCAGCCUCCCAAAGUGUUUGGAUUACGGGCGUGAGCCACCGCACCUGGACUAUUCUUUUACUUUUUUAAUGAACUUUCUUUCACUUCACUGUAUUGGUUCACUCUUGAAUUCCUUCCUGCAUGAAGUCAAGAACCCACAUGAACCCCAAUUUCCCAAAUUUGGAGGUCCAAAAUUGGGGUUUAUCCUGUGACAAAAGCAGAGGCAGAUGCUUCAGAAGCAAUCCGACUUGGAUGCCCCAGAGUGGUUCUGAAUGAAGCCAUCAUCCACUGGGGCACCUUCUCUAACUUAGUCUUUGUCCUUGGGGAGGUAGAGCUUAGGGCUUAGGGCGAGGGCUGGAUUUGACACAGCAAAAGCACCCAGUUAUUCUAACAACCAUGGGACUCAGCCCCAUGCCUGAUGGAAUCAUAGUCCCUGAAACUCUGCAGAAACCAGUUUCCUAAAAGUGAGAAUUUCAGAGCCCAAGGGGUUGCAUUAACAGGGGCAGAUCUAGAUUUCAUCCACAUGGUAUUAACUUACAUGCUAGCAUAUAAAUUACACUAGGCAUGUAACUCACCCUUAAUUUACUGCUGUCUUUUUGGGUGUGCAGGGUCU